Molecule: long non-coding RNA, 4632 nt
Filed under: Salmo salar (Atlantic salmon)
Lineage: Eukaryota; Metazoa; Chordata; Actinopteri; Salmoniformes; Salmonidae
Description: lncRNA (ENSSSAG00000095062.1)
Source: RNAcentral
GUAUUUUGUGUUAGACACGCCUCUGACAUGUAUAGUAAAUUCCAUAUGCAGUAUGAAAAUAUUCCUUACUCUACAUGUCAAAUGCAUGUCUGUCGGUUAUAUUUCUAUCUGAAUGAAUGUUCUCAUUGUGUCCUACUGAACAAGGCCCAGGUGUUGACAUAGCCUAGGCAGCCGCUAGUGGGCUUCCAUAAAGAUAGUGGCCCACUAUCUUUAUGGAAGCCCACUAGCGGCUGCCUAGGCUAUGUCAACGCCAUAAAGAAGAAGCCCACUAGCGGCAGCCCAGUGUCGACAGCUCCAGGCCGAAGUAGUUAGCUGUUCUGGUGAAGGGCACCUGUUAGCAAUCGAGUUGGAAGGUGUGUCUUGGCUUUCUCCGUGCACGUUUGAGUUGUUAGUAACUUAGCUGUAACUUCUCACAAACAAAGCAAAUCAAACCACCGUAGCUCGACAACAUAAAUUGACCAGCGCGUGUGAAGUGCAUACAUUUCACUCAAAAUACUCACUCGGCUGCUCUCGAUGGAACGAAUGAUGUUUUGAAGGAUGGAAAAACUGAGCUAGCUAUGGUUAACAGUUAGAGUUCGCUCUAACUUACGCUGUGGCUAUUUGUACUCGGCUGUAAUUGUUAGUGAAUCGACCUUAAUAAAUGUGUCUGCAUCUCUAAAUCAUGAUACUCUCAACGAAAUCGCCAUUACUAACUAACCCGUGGGAUGGCACUUGUUACACGUUUUUGGAUAUAAAUUGAUUGAGUGAACGGGUUAAAAUUCCCAUUCAAGAAGAACCACGACACGCCCCUCCCUGUCUGAUCUAAACUGUCGACACCCAGCACUGUAACGUUAAUUGUUGCUUUUUCUUCGUGAGACAAUUCAACAUUUUUAAUUUUUGUUACAAUGAACUAAAACAUAGAGCCUCUAGCAAUUUAUAUUUUUAAUUGUGCUAAAUAUUUGGAUAAACUUAAAUAAAAAAAAGUACUAUACAUUUUAACGCUUUAAAUCCGAGAGUGACUUUCUCGAGCGGAGACGAUGACAGGUCAGGUUUAUUUUCAUCUUUCGAAGAAAACAAAGUUCAGUUCCAUAACAAUGACAUUUAAUGGGAAAGCAAAGGUACAGUGGACAACACAAAGACGACCCGAGUCCACUCGGCAAAGCUGGAAUUCUUCAACGUCUCAAGUCGUAUUGCAAGAAAAUAACGGAACUUCCCCUCUUCUUUCCAUGGGGCGCAUGGCAGUAUAAUCUACUCCAUGAAGGUGGAGAUACACAGGCCCUGGCAUCUAACCAAGGCGUUUGAGACAGAGUUCAACUUUGCCACCUACAUAGACACCAACCAACCACAUCUUCUGGCUCCUUUGGCAGGCAGCAACACUAAGACCCUGUGCUGCCUCUGGUGUGCCUCAGGGUCCAUCUCAAUGACCGUCCACACUGAGAGGAAUGGCUUUGUCCCCGAUGGUGAAAAUAAUCUGAGUUUAAUAAUGGCUCAUCUCAGACGGUGACUCCACAUGCCACCCGCAUCCAGAAGCAGAUGAUUUACACCCACAACAAGUGCAACAGGAUGAUGCAGAGGGAAAAACCUGGUCUCAGUGAAUGGUCAGCCGGUCAACCCCAGUAGCUCUGAGGUCUAAAGCAAUAUGAUGCUUCCCAUCCCUCCCAAAACUGCUCUCACAAUCUCCAACUGUCCUAUACUGGAGUUGGAUUACACUGUGGAUGUGUGUCUACGUGUCAGAGUUUCCUCUGACCUAAAGGUGCUGUUCCCCAUCGUGCUGUGUAAUGUUCAUGCUUCCCAACCUCCCCCUCCAUAUCAGUAGGAGUAGCAGUUGGAUCCUAUUAGAGAUUGCAUAGCCUCUCACAACUUCCCGUAACCAAAGUUAUGUCUGUCAGGAACAUAGGGGAUAUGAGGGUUACUAGGAACAAUUCUUCCGGUGCGCUUGUUUUUUCUUCACUGAUUAUUUGAACAAAUCACAGGGUUCAUUUGGCCCAUAGACCAGUUAAGAGGAUUUCAGAGGAGCGGGUGUGGACUUUGCCACUCCUAUUAAGCCAAACAUCUUAACACUCCCCAGUACAAAAUCCAGUAGCUGGCCGGAGACCAGCUUUCACGCAAGAUUUUGUUCCGAGAUUAGACACUGCCAAAAACCUUUUUAAAAUGGGGUUUCCAAUUCUAUAAUUUUAUAUGUUGUUGAUCGUUAGAAUUGUCAUCAACUGGCAUGUCAAAACUUCCUUCCAUAUGACAUUGCCUGAUUGCAUUGCCUCUUUCCACUGUGGGAGUCGAGUGCAAAAUGCUCACUAUAGACAUUACUGCUUAGAAAAUGAAGUGCUCAGAAUUCAUGACUUUUUAAAACUUACAUUUCAGCCCCUUUUCCGUUUCUUAUUCAGCUCCUUCGGGGUCAUGAGAUGAGAAACUAGUGGGACACUGUUAGGGGGCUAACUCCGACUACAGCUGAUAAGGACUCAACUUGCUCUAACAAGUCUUACAACACAACAAAUUGUAGGAUUUAUGUGAAAAGCCUCUUAAUAAGGUUGAUUUGUGAGUUGCAGAAAUAGUUCUCAUGUUUUUACUUCAUAUGGUAUCAGAUUCUUUUUUUAUAUUUUAUGCUUGAACUUUUAAAAGGUGUUUCUGUUACAUGACUAUUUCUGUUACAUUUUAAAACACAUAGUUUAUUUACAGUUGUAUAUAUACAUUUCUUAUUACUUACAUACCAAUGUAUAUGUAUGCAAUGGUGCCUUGCCAUCCUUCAAUGCUUAACACUAGAACCGUUAGGCCUUGACGGGUGCAACUUGUUCGCCAAUGAGACUGUAGUAAAGAAAUUGUCUAUGGUGAUAUUUUGCCAGCAGCAUACCACCCUGCAUCCCACUACUGGCUUGCUUCUGAAGCUAAGCAGGGUUGGUCCUGGUCAGUCCCUGGAUGGGAGACCAGAUGCUGCUGGAAGUGGUGUUGGAGGGCCAGUAGGAGGCACUCUUUCCUCUGGUCUAAAAAAAAAACAAAUAUUCCAAUGCCCCAGGGCAGUGAUUGGGGACAUUGCCCUGUGUAGGGUGCCGUCUUUCGGAUGGGACGUUAAACUGGUGUCCUGACUCUCUGAGGUCAUUAAAGAUCCCAUGGCACUUAUCGUAAGAGUAGGGGUGUUGACCCUGGUGUCCUUGUUAAAUUCCCAAUCUGGCCCUCAAACCAUCAUGGUCACCUAAUAAUUUCCAAUUGGCUCAUUCAUCCCCCUCCUUGCCCCUGUAACUAUUCCCCAGGUUGUUGCUGCAAAUGAGAAUGUGUUCUCAGUCAACUUACCUGGUAAAAUAACGGAUAAAUAAAAUAUUUCUCCUCUUGCCAAUGUAAGAUUUCACAAGCCUCAUAACCACAUUCUGUCACUCGCUCACCUGCUGCCCAAUGUGGAUCUUUUCCAAGAUAUGGAAAGCCAUUCAGCAUGUACUUGGUGUCGGUGUCAGCGGCUAACCAAAUCUUAAUUUCAAACUUGUCGGGUUAACUCUCAAUGUAUUGCAUAAAGCCGUAAUGAGGUUUUGGGGUAUACAUGGCUGUGACUAUAAUCGAAGAGGAUGCUCUUGGGAGAUAAUGCGGUCGGCAUUUGAUUGUAAGGAAUUCUAGGUCAGGUGAACAAAAGGACUUGUUCCUGUAUGUUAUGAUUACACCAUGAGUCGUUAAUCAUAAGGCAUACACCCCCGCCUUUCUUCUUACCAGAGAGAUGUUUGUUUCUGUCGGCGCGAUGCAUGAAGAAAGUGGGUCGCUGUACCAACUCUGACAACAUAUCCCGAGUGAGCAAUGUUUCUGUGAAACAGAGAAUGUUAGAAUCUCUGAUGUCUCUCUGGAAGGAAAAGCAGUCAUCAAGUGCUUAGCAAAUGUGGGAACUCCUUUAAGACUGUUGGGAAAGCAUUCCAGGUGACUACCUCAUGAAGCUGGUUGAGAGAAUGCCAAGAGUGUGCAAAGCUGUCAAGGCAAAGGGUGGCUACUUUGAAGAAUCUCAAAUAUAAAAUAUAUUUUGAUUUAACACUUUUUAGUUACUACAUGAUUCCAUGUGUUGUUUUAUAGUUUUGAUGUCUUCACUAUUAUUCUACAAUGUAGAAAAUAGUACAAAUAAAGAAAAACCCUUGAAUGAGUAGGUGUGUCCAAACUUUUGACUGGUACUGUAAGAAUUCACACCCCUGAGUAAAUACUUUGUCAAAGCACCUUUGGCAGCGAUUACAGUCUUUUUGGGUAAGUCUCUAAGAGCUUUCCACAUCUGGAUUGUGCCACAUUUGCCCAUUUAUUCUUUCCAAAUUGUCAAACUGGUUGUUCGUGAUUGCUAGACAACCAUUUUCAGGUCUUGCCAUAACUCGGCCACUCACUGUCUUCUUGAUAAGCAACUCCAGUGUAGAUUUGGUCUUGUGUUUUAGGUUAUUGUCCUGCUGAAAGGUGAAUUCAUCUCCCAGUGUCUGGUGGAAAGCAGACUGAACCAGGUUUUUGUCUAGGAUUUUGCCUGAUCACAACAAAAUGUGGAAUAAGUCAAGGGGUGUGAAUACUUUCUGAUGGGACUGUAUGUAGUGUAGGAUUAGUUGUGUUAUUCCUUCUCUGUAUAAAAAUUGGGCUGGUGUGGGGGUCUUGAGGAAAAACAUGGGCUGGUGUGGGGGCCUCAAGGAAUAAAAUGGGUAAGUGUGUUAGAAAUGC